CCUACGGGAGGCAGCAGUGGGGAAUCUUGCGCAAUGGGCGAAAGCCUGACGCAGCCAUGCCGCGUGAAUGAUGAAGGUCUUAGGAUUGUAAAAUUCUUUCACCGGGGACGAUAAUGACGGUACCCGGAGAAGAAGCCCCGGCUAACUUCGUGCCAGCAGCCGCGGUAAUACGAAGGGGGCUAGCGUUGCUCGGAAUUACUGGGCGUAAAGGGAGCGUAGGCGGACAUUUAAGUCAGGGGUGAAAUCCCAGAGCUCAACUCUGGAACUGCCUUUGAUACUGGGUGUCUUGAGUGUGAUAGAGGUAUGUGGAACUCCGAGUGUAGAGGUGAAAUUCGUAGAUAUUCGGAAGAACACCAGUGGCGAAGGCGACAUACUGGAUCAUUACUGACGCUGAGGCUCGAAAGCGUGGGGAGCAAACAGGAUUAGAUACCCUGGUAGUCCACGCGUAACGAUANAUGNUAGUUGUCGGGUAGUAGUUUACUAUCUCGGUGACGCAGCUAACGACAUUAAGACAAUACCGCCGUCGGGGAGGGUACGGGUUCGGCGAAGAAGUUAAAACGUUAACUAAAUAGUUAAGUUAGUACGGUUCGUUGAGACGUUGCCGACGGGACGACGACGAGGGGAGGUUAGG
RNAcentral lists this ribosomal RNA (631 nucleotides) under uncultured bacterium. RNAcentral's name for it is "bacterial SSU rRNA". The stretch from base 1 to 522 matches the Rfam family "Bacterial small subunit ribosomal RNA", at positions 338 to 873 of the family's 1533-position model. The record is from RNAcentral.